UACAGAAAUGGGCUUUGUAGACACCCAACUAAAAGAUACAAAGACAGUUUUUUAUUUAACUGUCCUUAUAACUUAAUAAGGACGUCGCGUUUUAAUUUUUUACAAUCUUCCGUGUUUUUCCCUUAAGCGCAGUGUAGUAGCGGAAGUCUAGGUCGUCAUUUCUGAAACCACAACAAAAAAGAUAAAACACUAUUCACUCCCUAGAAAAUCACUCUCGCGUUCUGCUCUCUCUCUCUCCCCUCAAAUCUCUUCUGUCUCUCCUCCCAAAUCUUUCCUUUGCCUAGCCUCCUCCAUCUUCGAUAUCACCAUGACCUUGGACACCACCAUCGGCCUAUUCGAUGUCCUCCAACACGCCAAGUAUCCCGAUAACACUGUGUUCAACCUCAUCACUACGCACCAUCGCCGGGACGACCUCCACCACUUCGACUGUAACCUCGUGAAGGGCAAGAUCUCAUACUCCGGCGUUGACCAGCCUCUCAGCUAUGCGCGAAUCUAGCUGCCUAAUCUAUGUUGCUUUGCCAUAGGCACAAAGGAUGGCUUCAAAGUAUUCAAUUCUAAUACAGGGAGACUCUGCUAUGAACGAGGCAAGUUAUCCAAUUUAUUUACUCCUUGUAAUUUUUGGAAUUAACAACUGUGGUUUACAAUUUAAUUAAUUUAUUUUUGGUUAGCUAUUGGCGCUUUCGCUAUUGUUGAAAUGCUAUUUAGCUCUAGUCUUCUUGCCAUUGUUGGAGCUGGUGAAGAGCCAUCUUUAUCUCCGCGUCGUCUCUGUUUGUUCAAUACAACAAUUGGAACUGCUCUUCGAGAAUUGAACUUUUUGACUUCAAUACUUUCCGUUCGUAUGAAUAGGAAAAGCUCCCUGCUAUAAUUUCUCUAGGCUUAACUUGAGUAAUCCCUCCCCUUGUCUCUUACUCAAGAUCAAAUAAUGCAUUUGUUUCAGAUUUUAAACUAUAUAAUUAUGGAUGGGAACUUGGUUUGCCCUGCAAAGAUGGGAAGAUCUGUAGCUGUAGGUAAUCCAGAGCUCUUGUUUUUCUUAAUAGGUCUAUGCUUGUCUUAUACUUGUUUUUGUGGAUUGUGGAUUCAUGCUAUGUUAGUUAUAUGUAUAUGGCCUAUACGAUGCGUUUAUGAAAGUUGCAUUUUGGGAAUUUAUUACUUAUGUGACUUAUCUUUGUUCAGUGGAAAUAACUAUUUGAAUGCUUAGUGGCAACACAUAGGAGCUUAUAGGUGCCAUGCAAAACUCAUUAUUACAAUUUAGCCUUUUUACAAGAUAUAUAUGAAGAAACUUCUGCUUUUGCUUGCAGACAUUUAUAAUCUAAGUGAGAAAUCGUCUUUGGAGUUGAGACCAUUCAUUAAGGCUGUUUGAAAGUUGCAAUGUUUUCACUAGGUAUGUAACUAUCUAAAGGCAUGACUAAUACUAUUAGUUUUCUUGCUCGUUUGCUUUCUUAUACUGAAGAAGUUAAUCUGAUUGCUUACUGCUUCUAUCUUGUCCAGAAGUGCAAUCUCCAGAAAACCUAUUACAACUCAUUUUUUAUUUUACAGACUCUAAAACAACUUAAAUUUACACUUGUUGGUACUUCAAAAUGUGACAUAUUAUCAUCAACACUUAUUUUUCUUUACUAUUUUAUUGAUUUUUACAGUUCAAGAGUCGAGACGAAUUCAUGGACAUCCACAAUGAAUACGCUGUGGGUUGAACUUGUAUAGUUAGAUUAUUGUUAGUAGUUAUUUAUUGAAUCGUUAGUUAUUGCUUAAUAACUUUGUGCUCAUUGUAUUGUAUUUUAGUUAUAAUAGAUACAUUGGUCACUAGUCUUGUACUAAAUUAUGUAUAUUUUAAUUUUUUUUUUGUGUCAUGUAAAAGAUACAAGGACGUCUUUUCUACGUCCUAAUAGACAUUAGAUGACGUUUGUAUGAGAUA
Molecule: long non-coding RNA, 1909 nt
Organism: Rosa rugosa (rugosa rose)
Lineage: Eukaryota; Viridiplantae; Streptophyta; Magnoliopsida; Rosales; Rosaceae
Exons: 5
Source: RefSeq, a predicted model, not a curated record